GUUGCAGAGUCAUUUUGGCAUUCUGUCCACCUCCGUUAAUUCUUUUCUUUUUUGCCCACUUGAAAUCUUAGAUUUGGAGGUGGCUAGCAUGCCUAACAGGCUCUGUGAA
Citrus sinensis (sweet orange) is the source of this 109-nucleotide non-coding RNA. The record is from Rfam. NCBI's taxonomy places the organism in Eukaryota, Viridiplantae, Streptophyta, Magnoliopsida, Sapindales, Rutaceae.